CGAAAGCCUGACGGAGCAAUACCGCGUGAGGGAGGAAGGCUCUUGGGUUGUAAACCUCAAAACUUAGGGAAGAAAAAAAUGACGGUACCUAAUAUAAGCAUCGGCUAACUCCGUGCCAGCAGCCGCGGUAAUACGGAGGAUGCAAGCGUUAUCCGGAAUCAUUGGGCGUAAAGAGUCCGUAGGUGGAACGGAAAGUCUGCUGUCAAAGACAGAAGCUUAACUUCUGAAAGGCGGUGGAAACUGACGGUCUAGAGUUCGGGAGGGGUAGAGGGAAUUCCCAGUGUAGCGGUGAAAUGCGUAGAGAUUGGGAAGAACACCAGUGGCGAAGGCGCUCUACUGGACCGAAACUGACACUGAGGGACGAAAGCUAAGGUAGCG
This 378-nucleotide ribosomal RNA is filed under the name uncultured cyanobacterium. RNAcentral describes it as "bacterial SSU rRNA". It matches the Rfam family "Bacterial small subunit ribosomal RNA", at positions 376 to 770 of the family's 1533-position model. The record is from RNAcentral. Lineage: Bacteria; Bacillati; Cyanobacteriota.